Molecule: non-coding RNA, 97 nt
Organism: Acanthosepion pharaonis
Lineage: Eukaryota; Metazoa; Mollusca; Cephalopoda; Sepiida; Sepiidae
Source: the annotation of a GenBank genome assembly
GUUGAAACACCUGGUCUCCUACGAACUUGGAAGUUAAGCAAUGCCGAGUUUGCUCAGUAUGUAGAUGGGUUACCGCCUGGGAGUACUAAGUCCUGUA